RNAcentral lists this ribosomal RNA (253 nucleotides) under uncultured bacterium. RNAcentral's name for it is "partial 16S ribosomal RNA". It matches the Rfam family "Bacterial small subunit ribosomal RNA", at positions 524 to 776 of the family's 1533-position model. The record is from RNAcentral.
GACGUAGGGUGCGAGCGUUGUCCGGAUUUAUUGGGCGUAAAGAGCUCGUAGGCGGCUCGUCGCGUCGACCGUGAAAACCCGCAGCUUAACUGCGGGCUUGCGGUUGAUACGGGCGGGCUAGAGUUCGGUAGGGGAGACUGGAAUUCCUGGUGUAGCGGUGAAAUGCGCAGAUAUCAGGAGGAACACCCGUGGCGAAAGCGGCUCUCUGGGACGGUACUGACGCUGAGACGCGAAAGCGUGGGGAGCAAACAGG